This 238-nucleotide ribosomal RNA is filed under the name uncultured bacterium. RNAcentral's name for it is "partial 16S ribosomal RNA". It matches the Rfam family "Bacterial small subunit ribosomal RNA", at positions 96 to 334 of the family's 1533-position model. The record is from RNAcentral.
CGGCGGACGGGUGAGUAACGCGUGGGUAACCUGCCUCAUACAGGGGGAUAACAGUUAGAAAUGACUGCUAAUACCGCAUAAGCGCACAGUACCGCAUGGUACGGUGUGAAAAACUCCGGUGGUAUGAGAUGGACCCGCGUCUGAUUAGGUAGUUGGUGGGGUAACGGCCUACCAAGCCGACGAUCAGUAGCCGACCUGAGAGGGUGACCGGCCACAUUGGGACUGAGACACGGCCCAA